AGAGUUUGAUCCUGGCUCAGGACGAACGCUGGCGGCGUGCUUAACACAUGCAAGUCGAACGGAAAGGCCCUUCGGGGUACUCGAGUGGCGAACGGGUGAGUAACACGUGGGUGAUCUGCCCUGCACUUUGGGAUAAGCCUGGGAAACUGGGUCUAAUACCGAAUAUGACCAUGCGCCUCCUGGUGUGUGGUGGAAAGCUUUUGCGGUGUGGGAUGGGCCCGCGGCCUAUCUGCUUGUUGGUGGGGUAAUGGCCUACCAAGGCGACGACGGGUAGCCGGCCUGAGAGGGUGACCGGCCACACUGGGACUGAGAUACGGCCCAGACUCCUACGGGAGGCAGCAGUGGGGAAUAUUGCACAAUGGGCGCAAGCCUGAUGCAGCGACGCCGCGUGAGGGAUGACGGCCUUCGGGUUGUAAACCUCUUUCAGCACAGACGAAGCGCAAGUGACGGUAUGUGCAGAAGAAGGACCGGCCAACUACGUGCCAGCAGCCGCGGUAAUACGUAGGGUCCGAGCGUUGUCCGGAAUUACUGGGCGUAAAGAGCUCGUAGGUGGUUUGUCGCGUUGUUCGUGAAAACUCACAGCUUAACUGUGGGCGUGCGGGCGAUACGGGCAGACUUGAGUACUGCAGGGGAGACUGGAAUUCCUGGUGUAGCGGUGGAAUGCGCAGAUAUCAGGAGGAACACCGGUGGCGAAGGCGGGUCUCUGGGCAGUAACUGACGCUGAGGAGCGAAAGCGUGGGGAGCGAACAGGAUUAGAUACCCUGGUAGUCC
This 771-nucleotide ribosomal RNA is filed under the name uncultured bacterium. RNAcentral describes it as "bacterial SSU rRNA". It matches the Rfam family "Bacterial small subunit ribosomal RNA", at positions 8 to 796 of the family's 1533-position model. The record is from RNAcentral.